RNAcentral lists this ribosomal RNA (481 nucleotides) under uncultured bacterium. Its description in RNAcentral is "bacterial SSU rRNA". It matches the Rfam family "Bacterial small subunit ribosomal RNA", at positions 335 to 803 of the family's 1533-position model. The record is from RNAcentral.
ACUCCUACGGGGAGGCAGCAGUGGGGAAUAUUGCACAAUGGGGGGAAACCCUGAUGCAGCCAUGCCGCGUGUGUGAAGAAGGCCUUGGGUUGUAAAGCACUUUCAGUAGGGAGGAAGGUAGUGUAGUUAACACCUGCAUUAUUUGACGUUACCUACAGAAGAAGCACCGGCUAACUCCGUGCCAGCAGCCGCGGUAAGUACGGAGGGUGCGAGCGUUAAUCGGAAUUACGUGGGCGUAAAGCGCAUGCAGGCGGCCUGUUAAGUCAGAUGUGAAAGCCCGGGGUCUUAACCGUCGGAAUUGCAUUUGAAACUGGCAGGCUAGAGUCUUGUAGAGGGGUUAGAAUUUCGAGGUGUAGCGGUGAAAUGCGUAGAGAUCUGAAGGAAUACCGAGUGGCGAAGGCGGCCCCGUGGACAAAGACUGACGCUCAGAUGCGAAAGCGUGGGAGCAAACGAGGAUUAGAUACCCCGUGGUAGCGACUGA